This 520-nucleotide ribosomal RNA is filed under the name Burkholderia cepacia. Its description in RNAcentral is "partial 23S ribosomal RNA". It matches the Rfam family "Bacterial large subunit ribosomal RNA", at positions 1 to 556 of the family's 2925-position model. Lineage: Bacteria; Pseudomonadati; Pseudomonadota; Betaproteobacteria; Burkholderiales; Burkholderiaceae. The record is from RNAcentral.
GUUAUAGGGUCAAGCGAAUAAGUGCAUGUGGUGGAUGCCUUGGCGAUUACAGGCGAUGAAGGACGCGAUAGCCUGCGAAAAGUUGUGGGGAGCUGGCAAAUAAGCAUUGAUCCACAAAUGUCCGAAUGGGGAAACCCGGCCUUUUAGGUCAUCCUGGACUGAAUACAUAGGUCCAGCGAAGCGAACGCGGCGAACUGAAACAUCUAAGUAGCUGCAGGAAAAGAAAUCAACCGAGAUUCCCAAAGUAGUGGCGAGCGAAAUGGGACCAGCCUUCAAGAUUUAGCACCGGUGUUAUCAAAACGGAAUGGAAAGUCCGGCCAUAGUGGGUGAUAGCCCCGUAUGAGAAAGCCCUGGUGUGGAACUAAGCUUGAGAAAAGUAGGGCGGGACACGUGAAAUCCUGUCUGAAGAUGGGGGGACCAUCCUCCAAGGCUAAAUACUCGUAAUCGACCGAUAGUGAACCAGUACCGUGAGGGAAAGGCGAAAAGAACCCCGGGAGGGGAGUGAAAUAGAUCCUGAAAC